AAACCCCGAGAUAUCCGCCCCUUUUGUAAAGAGAAAAAAUGAGAAAUAAAACAACACAAGAAUUUAACGUGGAAACCCAAAACCGGGAAAAACCACAACAGUUGUCAAAAGACAACAACCGACCACUAUGUGAAAAAUUUUUACAAUCACAUAAACCUUAGUACUUUCUCCUAACAAAAAGUGUUAGAAAUACAUUUGGUUUGGUACAUUUGAAAACAUAAAUUAAGCCCCCUUAUAUAGGCAAGCCUCCAAGCUACUCUUUAACAUUUUUUCAAUGUGACACAAUGACCAUUCUCAUUUUUAAGCAAAAUCCCAACACCAAAAACUUUAUCUUUCUCCAUUUUCACAUCUGAUGAAACCAACACAACUUGUGUCCCACAAACCUCAUCAUAAAUUCUUUCAAAUUCCAUCAACACUUCAUUUACAAUCCCCACUUUAUUCUUCUCCACUAAAAACUUCAACAAGCCCACCAAGUGUUUGUGAAAUUUCCCCUUAGACAAUAUCUCCUUAAGAACAUACCCUUUUUCUUUAUCUUCCAAGAAAACAAAAGGGUCUUUUCUUAGCCAUUUAGACAUCUCUUUCAAGUGUUUCUAAUGAGUUGCUGGACUUAGCUAUAUCUACUAGUGCUGCAGCAUAACCACUUGAAGCUCUAGUAUGAGUUGUUUGAUGUCUUGAGGAGGAUUGUUUGAGUGCUAGAUUUUUAGAUGAACAGUAGUUGGGAUAUUGAAAUUCUUGGUAUGGAUAAAAGAGUUCGUUUUGUUUAAGAUUUUUUUAACUUGGUUUAGUGAAAGGGAAUAAGUGGUGAUUUGGAAAGUUGAAAUGAGAUGAGUAGAGGUCAGCCGAGUUCCUACACAGAGUUGGAACUUUUAGUGAAGAAACUGAGGUGGAGAGUGUAUCCAUUGGAAUUAAUUUGGUAAGGAAUUUUUGGGGAAGGGAAUGUAGAAUAGGUGAAGAAAGUGGAGAAGAGUUUUCUGAAAAUUGUGGUGGGAAUUAAUGCACGAGACACAAAAAAGAAAGGGAUAAUCUCGCAGCCACCAGUUGACCAAAUGUCAAAGCUAGCUUCUCUUGGGCUUUGUAAUUCCAGGCUAUGAAUUGUACUGUCUGGCCCAACAAUGAUUUUGCUCAACCCAUCUAUAAUCUAAAGCUUGAUGUCUGCUAUGGCAGUAUGCGUUCACGCAGGGUUCGGGAAAGGGCUGCACUCCAAGAGGUGUGAUGUAGAUAGUCUACCCUAACAUAAAUAUUAAUAACUGCUUUCACGACUCGAACCCGUGACCUAUAGAUCAUACGGUUAUGGUCUACUUGGAGACUACCAAAUGCCAAAUCUUGCGGGAUGGUGGUUUGGGGGGUGAGGUGGGGUGGAGAGGGGGGCAUGGGCGGAGCUAGGCGUUUUGGGCCACCCCUUCAUGAGAAAAUUACACUAUUUGUAUAAGGUAAAAGAAAAAUUUAUGUAUAUUAUUAGAUAUUGAAUUCUCUUGGCUUCUUUGUGUGUUUACUUUGUGUUUCAUUUUUUAAAUCUCCUGAUGAAAAUCCGGCAUCCGCCACUGGGAGGAUGUUACUAAGUUCCUAUAUAGAUUGUGCAUAGAGCGCGAAAUAUCACUGGAUUACAUAGAAAGGAUCUUCCUUUUGUGUAUUUGGGAUGCCCAACUCUGGUCGUAUGAGUUUGCUCACAUGGUCGGUCUCAAGCUUGGAUAAAGGUUGCGAUGGGCUAACAACUAACAUAAGACUAGUCAAUUCAUGUAAGCUGGAUUCAUUGUCUUCUGAAAGGCACAUAAGAACUUUUCUACCAAUAAAUGAAACAAUUAUGUAUCAUGAUUCUCUAAAAGAACAAAAUAAUUUGUUCAAUGACACUAUUUCCCCAACAUUUGAAAAGUCUUUUCAGAUUAAACCUGAUUUUUUCCUUUCCUAAUUCUUUCAUAUUCUACUUCAGCAUCUUUCAACUGUUCUUUCAGUUUAGUUAUUCCACUCUCCAGUUCUUCCGCUGAAGCUCGGACACGAGAAGGUCUGUACGGUGUUAGAAAAUGAUACUUGAAUGCUUUCAGAGCUUCAACACCACAAACCUAUCAAGAAAAUAACUUAGUAAUGUGAGUUACAGUUGGUUUGACAAGAAAUGUAUUGUAUACGCAUACCUUAUUUUCCCCUCCCCCUACGUUUAAGAGUGUAGAGAGGUUGUUUCCAGUAGACCUUCGGCUCAAGAAUAGAAGGGAGAAUAGAAUCAUGU
Molecule: long non-coding RNA, 2218 nt
Filed under: Nicotiana benthamiana
Lineage: Eukaryota; Viridiplantae; Streptophyta; Magnoliopsida; Solanales; Solanaceae
Description: long non-coding RNA (NBEN_LNC007658)
Source: RNAcentral